Molecule: long non-coding RNA, 511 nt
Organism: Gavialis gangeticus (Gharial)
Lineage: Eukaryota; Metazoa; Chordata; Crocodylia; Gavialidae
Exons: 4
Source: RefSeq, a predicted model, not a curated record
UACUGGAUAUUUGGAAGCUAAGAUGAGAAGCUGACAUCUGCAUUUUUCAGCAUUGUCCAGGCCCAGGGGGAGCAGUUUUCCUAGUUGGUGACAACGUCUUACGGCUGACCUUUGGAACACACAAACUUGGCAAUUUAUGGCUCAUCUGAUAAAAUGGAGGCCCCAGGACUAACUUGUAUUUGGCUGUGUGACUUUCCCUGCUGGUGACAUGAAGGAUAAGUAAAAGAUAGAUCAAGGCUUUGCCUAUGCUGCGGAAGCGGCUGCUGCUGCUUGAAAUGCAGCAGGAGGGCUGAGGUAAGCAGACCUGCUAGUGUGGGCACAGCUCUACUGGCAGAAGGAGUUUUUCUGUUGCCGAAGUUGCACCAGCUCCCCCCCAUGAUAGAAACUGUGCCGCCAGGAACCACUCUGCUGGCAGAGUAACAUCUGUGGGCUUUCAGCAUCUUCGUUUUCCACCAACUCCAUAGAUGCUGAAGAAGCUCUGCACCAAAGAAGAGGUGCUCACGAGAAGAGG